Molecule: ribosomal RNA, 459 nt
Filed under: Sphaerodoropsis sp. 3 MC-2015
Lineage: Eukaryota; Metazoa; Annelida; Polychaeta; Phyllodocida; Sphaerodoridae
Description: partial 16S ribosomal RNA
Rfam family: Bacterial large subunit ribosomal RNA (bases 327-459)
Source: RNAcentral
UAAGAUUAAAUUUAAAAUAAGUUCUGCCCAAUGAUUAAAUUUAAUGGCUGCAGUAUAUUGACUGUACAAAGGUAGCAUAAUAAAUUGUUUCUUAAUUAGGGACUAGAAUGAAUGAAUUUAUAAAAUAACUCUGUUUCUUAUUUGUUGUUAUAAAUUUAUAUAAUAGUAAAAAAGCUAUCAUUAUAUAAAAAGACAAAAAGACCCUUAAAGUUUAAAUUAGAUUGAUUAAUUAAAAUCAUAAUUUUUAGCUGGGGUGGCUAUUGGAAAUAUAAAACUUCUAUUUUAGUGUAAUAAUUGGAUUAAUAAUAAAAAAAAAUUACUUAAGGGAUAACAGAUUAAUCUUUUUGAAGAGCCCAUAUUGAUAAGAAAGUUUAAUACCUCGAUGUUGGCUUAAAAUUUCCUAUAAAUGUAAAAGUUUAAAAGGUUGGAUUGUUCAUCCAUUAAAAUUUUACGUGAUCU